This 509-nucleotide unclassified non-coding RNA is filed under the name Butyrivibrio fibrisolvens. The record is from RNAcentral. Lineage: Bacteria; Bacillati; Bacillota; Clostridia; Lachnospirales; Lachnospiraceae.
UGCGGCUGGAUCACCUCCUUUCUAAGGAAACGAAUGAAGUAAGGAGUUGUAUUACUGUUUAGAUGCUAAGGUGCAUCAAAAAUUUCUGGUGGCGAUGCGUUUAGGGGACACACCCGUUCCCAUCCCGAACACGACGGUUAAGACCUAAGCGGCCGAAAGUACUAUACUGGAGACGGUAUGGGAGGAUAGGAGGCUGCCAGAUUAAAAAAAGAAAUAACGCUUUAGUAGCGAUGAGAGAAUAAAAAAGAAUUUUGUUCUCUGAUGACUACUAAACCAUAGUCAAGAAGUAAUUGUUCCUUGAAAACCGAAUACUGAAACACAUCUAAUUAUCAGAUAACGAUAAAUAGACAUCGAAAGCAAAUCCAAAAACAAUGAAUGGUUUUAUCUGUAUAAUCGCUAUGCAGGUAAAGCAAAGAGCCCAUCGAAAGAUGGACUUCAUGAGAAAUCAUGUGAGAACAAAGGUUAUUGGACCUAAUGUUCCUAUAAAGCUUAAUGAGCGAAAGCUCAGU